Molecule: ribosomal RNA, 319 nt
Filed under: Paraphysomonas imperforata
Lineage: Eukaryota; Chrysophyceae; Chromulinales; Paraphysomonadaceae
Description: partial Bacterial small subunit ribosomal RNA
Rfam family: Bacterial small subunit ribosomal RNA
Source: RNAcentral
AUGGCUCAGAUUGAACGCUGGCGGCAGGCCUAACACAUGCAAGUCGAACGGAAACAUGUCUAGCUUGCUAGAUGAUGUCGAGUGGCGGACGGGUGAGUAAUGCUUGGGAACUUGCCUUUGCGAGGGGGAUAACAGUUGGAAACGACUGCUAAUACCGCAUAAUGUCUUCGGACCAAACGGGGCUUAGGCUCCGGCGCAAAGAGAGGCCCAAGUGAGAUUAGCUAGUUGGUAGGGUAACGGCUUACCAAGGCAACGAUCUCUAGCUGUUCUGAGAGGAAGAUCAGCCACACUGGGACUGAGACACGGCCCAGACUCCUAC